RNAcentral lists this ribosomal RNA (253 nucleotides) under uncultured bacterium. RNAcentral's name for it is "partial 16S ribosomal RNA". It matches the Rfam family "Bacterial small subunit ribosomal RNA", at positions 524 to 776 of the family's 1533-position model. The record is from RNAcentral.
UACGAGGGGGGCAAGCGUUGUUCGGAAUUACUGGGCGUAAAGGGCGCGCAGGCGGCCUUAGAAGUCAGAUGUGAAAGCCCCGGGCUCAACCUGGGAAUGGCAUUUGAUACUCUGAGGCUGGAGUACGGGAGAGGAGAGUGGAAUUCCCAGUGUAGAGGUGAAAUUCGUAGAUAUUGGGAAGAACACCGGUGGCGAAGGCGGCUCUCUGGACCGUAACUGACGCUGAGGAGCGAAAGCGUGGGGAGCGAACAGG